Molecule: transfer RNA, 69 nt
Filed under: Ovis aries (sheep)
Lineage: Eukaryota; Metazoa; Chordata; Mammalia; Artiodactyla; Bovidae
Rfam family: tRNA
About the family: Transfer RNA (tRNA) molecules are approximately 80 nucleotides in length.
Source: Rfam by way of RNAcentral
CCUGGUAGCUCAGCCGGUAAAGAAUCUGCCUGCAAUGCAGGAGACCCAGGUUUGAUUCCUGGGUCAGGA